UUUUUCCUUAUUCUUUAUUCGCACUCUCCCUAUUCCCUGCUUGCCCUACUAGAUUGAAACUGUAUUGAACAAAAGUUUUUUUUUUCUUGUGUGCUUGGAAUAUAUGCAUUUAUAUACCUCUUUGACUCUUCUUUGUUUACUUGACUUUCUUCAAUUCAUCAAAUAAAUUUUUUUUAAUUAAUGCAUUUUGAUUUUAUUAUUUUUCAUGUUUCAUGUUUUUGUUAUUUUUUUUGGGUUUCCUAUUUUUACAAUGCAUGUCAUUUCCAGUUUGAUUUUUGGUAGUUCCGGCAGCCCUAAGCAUUUCUGGGUGAUCGUGAUUGGCUCUUUUCUAGGUUAACAAUUUAUUUUAUGUUACUUUUGCUAAGUUUCGUUGUGAGUUCUGCAAUUCAAUUUCUAUUCAAGGUUUGGACGAACUAUUUUGCCGUAAUUUUAACUUAAUUCUAAGUAGUUUUUGUUAUUACCCGUAAUUAACAUAUUGAGAUUCAAAAUGCUUCUGUUUCCUGAAUUAUAUUAUUAUUUUAAUUAGUUGAGUUAAGAUUGAGGUGCAAUUAAUGGAUUAAUGUUCUCUGUUUUUUGUGUGCGUGUUGACUUGGUUGAUUGAUGGUUGCAGGUAAAGGGAAUAUUUUUGGCUUAGACGUGAGAUCAGAUUAUAUGAAACAUUAAAUUUGACUCCUGGCUGAAGAACUCACAAGAAUGUGAAAUUUAUUUUAAUUUGAGACAAUCGUUGCUAUUGAUAGGACUCAUUAGACCCUCUUUGUUUUGAAAGUUUGAAGCUUAGACAAUUUGUGACAGUUGUCGUCCUUUAAGACAAUCCCUCGAACAGUGGUGAUUGAAGCUCGGGAGCAAUGAAUCUUGAACUCUAUUGAACACAUGUCUAUCUGCUUCAGGCUAUGUUCAUGUAUAUGUGAAACAUAUAAAAUAAGUUUUUCGUAUUGGAUGUUUAAAAUGCUAGCCUUUUGUUUUAAUUAGCUUUAUGGUUUCUGUUGAUCUUGAAUGAAACUGGUGUUCAUAUUUUGAGGUGAGAUUUUGUAUAUCUCUAACUUUACCUAGAGUUUACCUUUUUAUAAUUUGGGUUCUUCUCUUACUACACCUAUGAACUGCUUACCCUGCACUGUAUAUUGUCUUUUCUCUUUAAUUUUUUAUUGGUUAUUUAUUUGAAAAAGGCCUAAAUUUGUAGUAUUUCUAAUUGCUACUCGCUUUCUCUGAGCGUACUUCAAUUGAUUUCCAUAAGCUGAAAGUAUAUUAUUUGUGUUGUCGUAAAUAUGACAUACUUUGAGGACAUUGCUAAUUCCCAAGAAGAUAUCAGCUGAUGAUGUAAGAAGUGGGAGUAUAGGCAAACAAACAUCAUCCUUUUUUUUUGUGCCUGUCUCUGCAUUGUUUCUUAACUCCAACUUUUCUUGAUUCACAGAGUAUAAAAUUUGCUAACUCCAUAUUAAUAAUUGGAGGAGGGCCAACAAGUGUGGAGUUAGCUGCUGAAAUUGCUGUUGAUUUUCCUGAUAAGAAAGUGACACUGGUGCACAAGGGAUCAAGAUUGUUAGAAUUCGUCGGAGAAAGUGCCAGCAGCAAGACUCUGAAUUGGCUUACUUCAAAGAAAGUUGAAAUCAUCUUAGGUCAAUCUGUCGAUUUGAACUCUACGUCUGAUGGUGUUAAUCGAACAUCGGUUUGGACAGUCAUGGCAGGCUAAUGGUUGAUUCAAAUUUAAGGGUCAAAGGUUACUACAAUAUUUUGGCAUUCGAGAUAUAGCUGUGUUCCAUAGGGGAAGUGUCUAAUUCCUCAUCCAACUCAUCGGAAUGAGCAGCAUCAGCACUAGAAAGACGAGAUCCAUAUGCGGAGGGUACCUAGGCCUCCAUCUGUAGUAUGAAAUUCGCUGCUACAGUUAUCUGGGUAAGGACCAAAAUAUUAUAGAAAAUGUUGGUAUUUCAAUGGCCUCCAAUAAUGCAUUGUUCCAGGUUCCUCCAUCUCAAGAGAAAAUGUUCAACUAUUUUCAUCCUCCACUGGAAUUGCAUCAACUUUAGAGAGUGAAUAUGUUUAGUUUGUAAACUCUCUAAGUUUUAUUAUUAUAACUUAAAUAAUUGUACAUAAAAUAUGUGUUGUAUAUGUUGCUAUGAUACAAUCAGUAACAAUUAUGAUAUUAUAAAGUUAUCAUAUGUUGUUCA
Nicotiana attenuata is the source of this 2156-nucleotide long non-coding RNA. RefSeq lists it as uncharacterized. The transcript is spliced from 5 exons. NCBI's taxonomy places the organism in Eukaryota, Viridiplantae, Streptophyta, Magnoliopsida, Solanales, Solanaceae. The record is from RefSeq and is a predicted model, not a curated record.